Molecule: long non-coding RNA, 646 nt
Filed under: Anas platyrhynchos platyrhynchos (common mallard)
Lineage: Eukaryota; Metazoa; Chordata; Aves; Anseriformes; Anatidae
Description: lncRNA (ENSAPLG00000019218.1)
Source: RNAcentral
GCAGGGGCUGCUGUGGGAAAAACAUGAAUGCAUUCAGUAGCUGCACAAAGUAUAUAGCAGAAUACUGCCAGACCAGCUCUUCCCUUGUUGCAGCUCUAACUUCCCUGCUGUGAUAUGCAGGCAUCUGUGAUGGUCUUUGUCUGUCCAUGUUUAGACAUCUAAAUUUUCUACAGCCUAGAGGCAUACAUUGGGACUGACCACCUGACCACCUAGUCAACAGCAAGAAAACAGUAUUAUUGAAGUACAGUGACUCUUACAAGGACAUGCCUGAGGAGCUGAUAAUUUUCCAGAGCUGUGAGAUGAUGCACUUCAAGACCCCAGCAUCCUUCAGGGAGAAGCUUCCCUGCUUCUGACUUCAGCAGGAACUGGUGCCCUGGUCAUCCCACCCAGGCUGGUUUUGCCCUGGGAGCAGAACAUUUCUCUAUUGGACUGAUUGCUAUGCCGGCAAGGAGGGUCCUUGACACUAGCCAGUCUGUCCAAGCUCAUCAGCAAGACACUUCUGGAACAGCCCUUGUUAUAUACCACUGUGUUGCAGUACAAGUCCACUCCAAAACUCAGCAGCAGUGUUUGUGACCUUGUGUGGUUCCAGGUAGGUCCCAUCACCCUGACCAAGGCUAUGGGACAUAAUCCAAAUACACAAAAUUAA